This 232-nucleotide ribosomal RNA is filed under the name uncultured bacterium. RNAcentral describes it as "partial 16S ribosomal RNA". It matches the Rfam family "Bacterial small subunit ribosomal RNA", at positions 118 to 347 of the family's 1533-position model. The record is from RNAcentral.
UGAGCAAUCUGCCCUUCUCAUCGGAAUAAGCGUUGGAAACGACGUCUAAUGCCGAAUACGACCUCCUUUCGCAUGAUCGGAGGUGGAAAGCUCCGGCGGAGAAGGAUGAGCUCGCGGCCUAUCAGCUAGUUGGUGUGGGUAACGGCCCACCAAGGCGACGACGGGUAGCCGGCCUGAGAGGGUGAUCGGCCACAUUGGAACUGAGACACGGUCCAGACUCCUACGGUAGCAG